This 106-nucleotide small RNA is filed under the name Symbiodinium sp. clade D. Its description in RNAcentral is "partial transfer-messenger RNA". The record is from RNAcentral. Lineage: Eukaryota; Dinophyceae; Suessiales; Symbiodiniaceae.
GGGAUAUACCUCUUUAAAAUUGUAUGAAAAUAAGAUUGCAAACAACAAAUCUAAAAUGUCAAAAGUAGGCAAGAUAGCAUUGAAUACUGGUACUUCAGUAGGAGGU